This is a long non-coding RNA of Ostrea edulis (European flat oyster), 755 nucleotides long. RefSeq lists it as uncharacterized. NCBI's taxonomy places the organism in Eukaryota, Metazoa, Mollusca, Bivalvia, Ostreida, Ostreidae. The transcript is spliced from 2 exons. The record is from RefSeq and is a predicted model, not a curated record.
AAUGUGACAGACUCAUAUUAUACAUGUAUAUUGUAUAAUAUGAUGGGUAUAUGUAUGAAGAAUCGGUUCAUUGAAUAAAAUGCUUAGGCAAGGUAAUGUAAUUUAAACAUGCAGUCAAGCAUAAAAAUUUGGUCACUUUCCCAGUGUAAUGGCCUGGGGUAUAUAAUUAUAUUUUGGCCAAAUGUCCCUUGUGUCUUUUAAUUUCAUUGGUGUUUUAGUUUGUCUUAUGUCAUUGGAUUGGUCUUGGAGAUUUUCCCUCCAAGAGUUCUGUUCUUUGUGGUCAGUCUUUAUUCAGUUUUUGAAGAAGAGAGUUGAUUUCAGUAGAUCUGACAUAUUUUGACAAUUAGACAUAGACCGACAUUUUUCCUCUUGAAUGGUAAGUUAAUAAUUUAUUACUAAUGCUAAUCUAUUCUAUAAUUCCUUUACUAAAUGUUAAAUCUGUAAUUUUGCAUAAAAUUCCUUUUGUUGCCACAUUCCUGGAAUAAAUGAUCAGUGAGAGUGAGACUUAUAUAAUGUAAAUAUCUGUGAUAGUAAUGUAUAUGAUUCGUCUCACUGUGAUAUUAUUUUAAAGUAAAAGUAUGUUUUAUGACUUACAAGAUAUUGUAGAUAUCAUAAUUAAUUUAUAGAUCAGACCAGUUUGGUGUCAUCUGUAAAUAUUGUUCACUCGAGCCUAUUCCCAUAGAAUGGGUUUCAUCAUUGGACAAUUCGUGCAUUGCAUGGUAACUCCUGAAUAAACGUCUUGUCGAGAACCCAAA